Molecule: long non-coding RNA, 611 nt
Organism: Quercus robur (English oak)
Lineage: Eukaryota; Viridiplantae; Streptophyta; Magnoliopsida; Fagales; Fagaceae
Exons: 3
Source: RefSeq, a predicted model, not a curated record
GUACCCGUUUGGUUCAACUUUUAGAGCUUAAAAGUUGCGUUUUGCAAAACGCUGGCCCAAAAAUUGCGUUUGGUUAUUACAAAACGCAACUUUGGGUCAAAAGUUGCGUUUUAAAAAACGCCCUGAACGCGCAUCAGUCCUUAUGCGAAGCAUCAGGUCCAUUUUCCAAAAGUCCUUGGGCGUUUUGGGGUAUCCGUUGGGGUGAGCAGGCAAUUACGAAAUUACCCUUCAAAUGCUCAUGUCUUCAGAGAUCGCACAGGCACUUCAUUUCACUUUGGGUCUCUCUGCUCUGCGCAAGCUCCUUCGUUCCUCUCAUCUUUGUGCUGCUACAAGUAACAACUUUCCGCGCGUAAAGUUUUGAUAAAAAAAACCCCAAGCAACACGGAUCUGCUACCCAAAGCCACCAGAUGGGUAAAAAGACUACUUCCAACUCUGAGGUAAAAAAGGCUAGAGCAGACUGGGAUAUUAAUCCAACGUGGACAACUACCUUUUGUAACAUUUGUGUGGAACAAAUUCAAGCCGGGAAUAGAACAAAAGGUGCUGGCUUUAGUACCAAAGGUUGGGUCAAUUUGGUGACCAAAUUUUGUAAUGAGACCGGUCUAAACUAUGAU